Scophthalmus maximus (turbot) is the source of this 2963-nucleotide long non-coding RNA. The record is from Ensembl. Lineage: Eukaryota; Metazoa; Chordata; Actinopteri; Pleuronectiformes; Scophthalmidae.
AUGCCACAAAUAUUGACUCCAGUCACGUUGACCUGCUCCGCUGAUGGAGGGAGCGAAUCGUAUUGUCUAAUCUUGUUGGACGCAGCAGAGGACCUGGUGACUCUGUCCACGGCAGCACAAACCGUACCACGACUCCAGGCGGUUGAUGGCGUUUCCACGGCGGCGGAAGUGACUAGCUCCGGAGCUCGGGAAGAAGCUGGCCGUGUAUCUGGGUCGACCCUGGCCCUGAUGGCAAACGGCAGCGAGGUUUUGAGCCGUGGGACCGGCGGGCGGGAAAGGGACGUCAGGCUCAUUGAGAGCGUUUCUUUGGGUGUCUGUGGAAAUCAAACAUGAAGGUUGACAGCAUUUCAAAUGUUAACACUCUUAGAAUCUUGAAGAAAUUACCUCCAACACCUGCUCCAUGAAGAGUCAGCAGUGCAACAAUCCAAAGUCCCAUGAGGCCUCCGACUGAAGUCAUAGCUGUACGCUGGUGUAGCGGGAACUGAAUGUUUUAGAAAAGGCCACAAUCCUCUUCUCUCCAACAAGUAUUGUGACGGGAUCAGAAACCAGCUUAUAUGAGGGGAGUAAGCGUGUGGGCAUGAGAUGCUUGGAAGUGGGGGUGGAAGGGGUGAGGUGAAAUGUUGGCAUGGGGGGUGGGGGGUUACAUUAUGUCGAGGAAUGUCAAGAUAGACACAAAAUUAAUUUGAACUUCAGUGAUAUCUGCUGGCAUGUGCAAUGUGCAAAACAAUCUGUGCAAGAUUCCAAGGUCUUUAAGUCCUUGGUCACAUGGAGAAAUAAGAAAGCAAAGAUGUUGAUGGAAUAUUUUAUCAUGGCACUGGCAUGUCUACCGAAAACAGUCAGAUUUUUUCCCAAAACUUAACAGAACUUUCGGUAAACCCCCACAAUUCCUGUUUUCAAAAACCUGUCCAAAUGUGCUUCCCGUCAUCAAAGUGGAUGGUUCACACUCUCAAAAUGCUUGAACGUCUCAUGUUUUGUUUUGACUUGCUGCACAUGAGUGGGACGAAGGACGCUCUCACCCACAGUCAGCAAAUCACUCAAAUUGUUUUUCACUCCCUAAAAUCAAAACAAUCAUCGCAGAAUUAUUUCGUCUGUCUGCGUUGUGCUGCUUAAAAGGUGUUGAUAGACUGAAUCUCUCUUUUUAUUGUUGCAACAAAUAUCAGAAGCAUUUUUAUCUUUGGUACAAUAUUAUCAAUUUAUUUCUACAUUGAGAAUAAGUGUCCAUCAGUAUUUGAUUGGUCUGUUUUGUGUUUCAGGUGGUUGUUAUCACAAAUGCAUUCUGCAGCUGCCAAACAGUGAAUCAUUCUCAUCUACUGUGUAAGUGGUGCUCCACUGUAACCCAAAUGUUAUUUUGUUGCUAGUCUUAAUUUGUAUCCAUGAUCUUUGGACAGUAAAGACAGGUUGUGAUUCUUAUUUUCCUCCCAAGUUUUUUUCUAAUUUAGCCUUCAGACUAGAUACAAUUUUUACAUUCACCUAUCAAUGAGAUAUAAUUACAUGGAAAAAAAAUCCAGUCCCACAUAGGAUUCAAUAAAAUCACCUCCAACACAUCCCUACCUGAACUUGGUCUGGUCUGAAGCUAAGCAUGGCAUUGCAUAUUUUAUAAUAAGCAUCAAUGUCAGGUAGGAACCUAAUAAAUAGUUUUGAUAUUUUUCGGAUAAGAAUCCCUGCUAUUUUUUGCAAAAGUUUUCUGCUUUCCCUAAGAAUGAAUACCUGCUUUCCAGAGAGCCAUUGAUAAAUGGAAAAUGGUCUUUGCAUUUUCUCAACGUGGCUGGCCAGGAUGGAAAGUACAAAACUUAUUAUGAUAAUAUUAGGCUAUUCUAUCAUCAACUGUAAAGUGUUCCCUUUCGUAAUCCGAUUGGUGAGUUGUGCCAUCUGACAGCUGCCAGCAGCGCAGCAACUGCACAUCAUUACAUGCAGCGCUACACAGAACUGCCAGGUCAAGAACGGUAUCCUCGGCUGCCCAUCCCAAGCAGCGUUGGAUCAUGGAGACCCGAGGAUCAUUACUGUUUUCAGUGGCAUGACUGGCACUGUGUCUGUCAUGGCAGCCUAUGAGAUCAUCACACACUGUGACCAAUCAGCUGCCGACUGGUUCAGGGUUUUGGCCUAGCCCCAAGAAUGCAGUCUGUCCUGAGUGAAGAGCAUUGUUGCCGUUUACAGCAUGUCACUGAUCUGAGCGUCAUUGUUUUCCUGACAAAGAGGAGACCCGGGCUGGUAUUUUUAAAAGUCUGCUGCGCCCAGGAAAACUUGAUAACCUUGACUGGGCACCUCAGAAGUAGAGGUUUGCAUCCCACCUCUCAUCGGAAUGUCUUCUCUGAGGUUAAUUCCGACAACGACUUUGCAUCACGCCCAUGUGAUUUCUGGAAAUGUGUGAACUAGUCACUUUUAAUUGCACAGAAAAAAUAUACCAAAAAUACAAACACUCACACACACACACACACACACACACCCUGCAGGGGGAGGGGGAGGAGAGGAGAGGAGAGGAGGGGGGGCAGGGGGAGGAGAGAGAGGAGGUGGGGAGGAGCAGGGGGAGGGGAGGAUGAGAGAGGAGGGGGGGCAAGGGGAGGAAAGAGAGGAGGAGGGGAGGGGGCAGGGGAGGAGAGAGAGGAGGUGGGGAGGAGCAGGGGGAGGAUGAGAGAGGAGGGGGGGGGCAAGGGGAGGAAAGAGAGGAGGAGGGGAGGGGCAGGGGGAGGAGAGAGAGGAGGUGGGGAGGAGCAGGGGAGGGGAGGAUGAGAGAGGAAAGGGGGAGGAGAGGAGGAGGGGAGGGGCAGGGGAGGAGAGGAGGGGAGGAGCAGGGGGAGGAUGAGAGAGGAGGGGGGGGGGGCAAGGGGAGGAAAGAGAGGAGGAGGGGAGGGGCAGGGGGAGGAGAGGAUGGGGGAGGAGAGAGAGGAGGAGGGGAGGAGCAGGGGGAGGAGAGAGAGGAGGGGGGGCAAAGGUAAAGGUGUGGAGAUCAUGGAAUGAUAAUCGCA